RNAcentral lists this ribosomal RNA (497 nucleotides) under uncultured bacterium. Its description in RNAcentral is "partial 16S ribosomal RNA". It matches the Rfam family "Bacterial small subunit ribosomal RNA", at positions 28 to 507 of the family's 1533-position model. The record is from RNAcentral.
GAUGAACGCUGGCGGCGUGCCUAAUACAUGCGAGUCGAGCGAACAGACGAGGAGCUUGCUCCUCUGACGUUAGCGGCGGACGGGUGAGUAACACGUGGAUAACCUACCUAUAAGACUGGGAUAACUUCGGGAAACCGGAGCUAAUACCGGAUAAUAUAUUGAACCGCAUGGUUCAAUAGUGAAAGACGGUUUUGCUGUCACUUAUAGAUGGAUCCGCGCCGCAUUAGCUAGUUGGUAAGGUAACGGCUUACCAAGGCGACGAUGCGUAGCCGACCUGAGAGGGUGAUCGGCCACACUGGAACUGAGACACGGUCCAGACUCCUACGGGAGGCAGCAGUAGGGAAUCUUCCGCAAUGGGCGAAAGCCUGACGGAGCGACGCCGCGUGAGUGAUGAAGGUCUUCGGAUCGUAAAACUCUGUUAUUAGGGAAGAACAAAUGUGUAAGUAACUAUGCACGUCUUGACGGUACCUAAUCAGAAAGCCACGGCUAACUACGUG